This 460-nucleotide ribosomal RNA is filed under the name uncultured bacterium. RNAcentral describes it as "partial 16S ribosomal RNA". It matches the Rfam family "Bacterial small subunit ribosomal RNA", at positions 338 to 795 of the family's 1533-position model. The record is from RNAcentral.
CCUACGGGAGGCAGCAGUGAGGAAUAUUGGUCAAUGGACGCGAGUCUGAACCAGCCAAGUAGCGUGAAGGAUGACUGCCCUAUGGGUUGUAAACUUCUUUUAUAUGGGAAUAAAAUGUUCCACGUGUGGGAUUUUGUAUGUACCUUAUGAAUAAGGAUCGGCUAACUCCGUGCCAGCAGCCGCGGUAAUACGGAGGAUCCGAGCGUUAUCCGGAUUUAUUGGGUUUAAAGGGAGCGUAGGUGGGUUGUUAAGUCAGUUGUGAAAGUUUGCGGCUCAACCGUAAAAUUGCAGUUGAAACUGGCAGUCUUGAGUACAGUAGAGGUGGGCGGAAUUCGUGGUGUAGCGGUGAAAUGCUUAGAUAUCACGAAGAACUCCGAUUGCGAAGGCAGUUCACUGGACUGCAACUGACACUGAGGCUCGAAAGUGUGGGUAUCAAACAGGAUUAGAUACCCCUGUAGUC